ACACAUGACAAGUACGAACGGCAGCGACGGGGACAACCGUGGUGGCGAGUGGACGGAACGGGUGAGUAAUACAGUACGGAACGUCGCCCAAGUCGGUGGGGAAUAACGUAGACGAAAGUUACGCUAAUACCGCAUACGAUCUACGGAUGAAAGCGGGGGAUCGCAAGACCUCGCGCGAAUGGAGCGGCCGAUGUCAGAUUAGGUAGUUGGUGGGGUAAAGGCUCACCAAGCCAACGAUCUGUAGCUGGUCUGAGAGGACGACCAGCCACACUGGAACUGAGACACGGUCCAGACUCCUACGGGAGGCAGCAGUGGGGAAUUUUGGACAAUGGGCGCAAGCCUGAUCCAGCCAUUCCGCGUGCAGGAUGAAGGCCUUCGGGUUGUAAACUGCUUUUGUACGGAACGAAACGGCGAGCUCUAAUACAGUUUGCUAAUGACGGUACCGUAAGAAUAAGCACCGGCUAACUACGUG
Molecule: ribosomal RNA, 472 nt
Filed under: uncultured bacterium
Lineage: Bacteria
Description: bacterial SSU rRNA
Rfam family: Bacterial small subunit ribosomal RNA
Source: RNAcentral